UUAUUGCCAUCAUUCUUUAGGCUAACUAGUAGACCAUAAAGAAUUGCAACUUUCCAACAAACUCAUCAUAUCACUAAUCUGCAUUCACUUAGCAAUUAUCUUGCACAAGUGACGUUAGUCCACAUAUAAUAUAAUCAUGGUAUCACAGCACAUAUAGUCAUUUGUGUGUGCCUUGUAUCAUGAGAGGUAAUAAUAUGGAUACCAAAUAUGACUCUAGCAAGAAAAAAUAUUAAAAUAAUAUGCUAGUCAGAAGUCAUACCAUGUCCAUGACGAGCAUCAGGUCUUGGAGAGUAACUCAUAGAGAGCUGAUGAGGAAAGAGAUAUACAAAUUCCGUUGGAUCUGCAACUGCAAAGUCCUUGAAAUGUUGUAUGAAGCUUUAUCUUCAAGCUCACUGUAAUAUCCUGAACCAACGUCUCGUCAAUGGUGCUUUAGUUUAAUCAUGAAGGUCGUUGAGUCCCCUAAGAUGUAGAGUCCUGAACUUGAAGAUUCUGUUUCCAUCAUCUUCAUAACCUUCUCCUUUGUAGUAACUCUAAGCAACCAAAUUGGCUUGUCCCUCGUAACAGAGCCAAAAUUAUCCAGUUGGAAUCUGAAUACCCGACAAGUACUAAGUACUGAAUUGUCUUUAGGUCAGGGUAUCAGAAUCCGCACAAUCUGCUUUACAACUUGAUUGAGAUCAUAUUGUUGUGCAAUCACUCAAUCUGGAUCCCUUUAAG
Molecule: long non-coding RNA, 714 nt
Filed under: Daucus carota (carrot)
Lineage: Eukaryota; Viridiplantae; Streptophyta; Magnoliopsida; Apiales; Apiaceae
Description: long non-coding RNA (DCAR_LNC007517)
Source: RNAcentral